AAGCCUAACGGAUUAGGUAUCUUCAGGAUGAAGAUUUGAUUGCUUAGGAUGAGUGGUCAGCAAGGAUGUAAAACACUGAUUGAGUUUGAUGUGGCUAGGAUGGUUACUGAUGCUGAUGAAAGUGAAUAUCUCUGGAUGAGAUUAGCCCGUCAGGAUGAUAGGCAAGCAUGGACACCGCUAGGAUGGCGAUGACAAAAGGAAAUCGGUUAAAGGAUUUAGCCAAUAUCAAGGAAAGAUGCAGGGAGCACCUCAUCUCAAUGAGAUAAAUAGUGGCAGGAAGGCUACGAAAGAACUUAACCCCGUAGGGCGCAAGCCUCACGGGGUUUCCUUUUA
Molecule: non-coding RNA, 333 nt
Filed under: Vibrio sp. THAF190c
Lineage: Bacteria; Pseudomonadati; Pseudomonadota; Gammaproteobacteria; Vibrionales; Vibrionaceae
Source: RNAcentral